Molecule: ribosomal RNA, 484 nt
Filed under: uncultured bacterium
Lineage: Bacteria
Description: partial 16S ribosomal RNA
Rfam family: Bacterial small subunit ribosomal RNA
Source: RNAcentral
AUUGAACGCUGGCGGCAGGCCUAACACAUGCAAGUCGAGCGGAUGAAGGGAGCUUGCUCCUGGAUUCAGCGGCGGACGGGUGAGUAAUGCCUAGGAAUCUGCCUGGUAGUGGGGGAUAACGUCCGGAAACGGGCGCUAAUACCGCAUACGUCCUGAGGGAGAAAGUGGGGGAUCUUCGGACCUCACGCUAUCAGAUGAGCCUAGGUCGGAUUAGCUAGUUGGUGGGGUAAAGGCCUACCAAGGCGACGAUCCGUAACUGGUCUGAGAGGAUGAUCAGUCACACUGGAACUGAGACACGGUCCAGACUCCUACGGGAGGCAGCAGUGGGGAAUAUAGGACAAUGGGCGAAAGCCUGAUCCAGCCAUGCCGCGUGUGUGAAGAAGGUCUUCGGGUUGUAAAGCACUUUUAGUUGGGAGGAAGGGCAGUAAGUUAAUACCUUGCUGUUUUGACGUUACCAACAGAAUAAGCACCGGCUAACUUCGUG